CUGCAUCAGGAAACAAAGAACAUGCCAACCCAGAUGCUCCCAAUUUCUGGCAGGUCGCCCUUUGGGUCCCACCCAGGUUUUCUUCAGUCGUCCCCAGAAGUCUGCACAGCACUCACGAAGUGAAGUAAACAGUGUACAAAGUCUCCGUGUAGCAGCAGCCCUUCUGGGUUUUGUCUCCAAGAGGAACAGGAUGUAUCUACGGUCCAUCACGUCUCUGUGCCCUACUGCUUCCCGGUGGCCAUCGAUGCAGCUUCUCAGGAGAAUCCUGCGGGGCAGAUCCUUUUCCUUCUUUACAUUAUACCCGAAUGAGCUGCAGCAAAUGGCUUUGAAAGAUGAGGCAAGUGGAAGGCAGGCACAGCGCUUUCCGUCAGAAGUUCCAGGGGAUCCAUCACAAAGGGAGAACUGAGUUUCAUGGAAUAAAUAUCAGACUCCAGGUUGGAAAACUUGGAACUAGUCCUCACGGAGCUCACCAUGUGUCUUGUUACUUUUCUCUUGAUGUUGAGACAAAGUGAAGUGAGGGAAGGUUUAUUUCUUACAGUUUUGGGGUUUUAGUCCAUAUUCAGCUGCCUCCAAUCACCAAGGUGGCCUGGCAGGGAAGCCAUUCAUAGCCACCUUCGCAGCAAGAGCAAACCCAGCAAGAGAGUGAGACAUACCUUCCUCCUGCCCUCCUUCCUCAUGCUGGCUCCACCUC
RNAcentral lists this long non-coding RNA (691 nucleotides) under Cavia porcellus (domestic guinea pig). Its description in RNAcentral is "lncRNA (ENSCPOG00000036354.1)". Lineage: Eukaryota; Metazoa; Chordata; Mammalia; Rodentia; Caviidae. The record is from RNAcentral.